GAUGAACGCUGGCGGCGUACCUAAUACAUGCAGGUCGAGCGAACAGACGAGGAGCUUGCUCCUCUGACGUUAGCGGCGGACGGGUGAGUAACACGUGGAUAACCUACCUAUAAGACUGGGAUAACUUCGGGAAACCGGAGCUAAUACCGGAUAAUAUAUUGAACCGCAUGGUUCAAUAGUGAAAGACGGUUUUGCUGUCACUUAUAGAUGGAUCCGCGCCGCAUUAGCUAGUUGGUAAGGUAACGGCUUACCAAGGCAACGAUGCGUAGCCGACCUGAGAGGGUGAUCGGCCACACUGGAACUGAGACACGGUCCAGACUCCUACGGGAGGCAGCAGUAGGGAAUCUUCCGCAAUGGGCGAAAGCCUGACGGAGCAACGCCGCGUGAGUGAUGAAGGUCUUCGGAUCGUAAAACUCUGUUAUUAGGGAAGAACAAAUGUGUAAGUAACUAUGCACGUCUUGACGGUACCUAAUCAGAAAGCCACGGCUAACUACGUG
RNAcentral lists this ribosomal RNA (497 nucleotides) under uncultured bacterium. RNAcentral describes it as "partial 16S ribosomal RNA". It matches the Rfam family "Bacterial small subunit ribosomal RNA", at positions 28 to 507 of the family's 1533-position model. The record is from RNAcentral.